RNAcentral lists this ribosomal RNA (254 nucleotides) under uncultured bacterium. Its description in RNAcentral is "partial 16S ribosomal RNA". It matches the Rfam family "Bacterial small subunit ribosomal RNA", at positions 524 to 776 of the family's 1533-position model. The record is from RNAcentral.
UACGGAGGAUGCGAGCGUUGUCCGGAAUCAUUGGGCGUAAAGGGCGCGUAGGUGGCCCGGUCAGUUCGUGGUGAAAGCGCGGGGCUCAACCCUGCGUCGGCCAUGAAUACUGCCGCGGCUGGAGCACUGUAGAGGCAGGCGGAAUUCCGGGUGUAGCGGUGGAAUGCGUAGAGAUCCGGAAGAACACCGGUGGCGAAGGCGGCCUGCUGGGCAGUUGCUGACACUGAGGCGCGACAGCGUGGGGAGCAAACAGG